Molecule: ribosomal RNA, 507 nt
Filed under: uncultured Pseudomonadota bacterium
Lineage: Bacteria; Pseudomonadati; Pseudomonadota
Description: bacterial SSU rRNA
Rfam family: Bacterial small subunit ribosomal RNA
Source: RNAcentral
UAGGGCGAAAGCCUGAUCCAGCCAUGCCGCGUGAGUGAUGAAGGCCCUAGGGUUGUAAAGCUCUUUCGGCGGGGACGAUAAUGACGGUACCCGCAGAAGAAGCCCCGGCUAACUUCGUGCCAGCAGCCGCGGUAAUACGAAGGGGGCUAGCGUUGCUCGGAAUCACUGGGCGUAAAGGGCGCGUAGGCGGAUCUUUAAGUCAGGGGUGAAAGCCCAAGGCUCAACCUUGGAAUUGCCUUUGAUACUGAGGAUCUCGAGACCGGAAGAGGUAAGUGGAACUGCGAGUGUAGAGGUGAAAUUCGUAGAUACUCGCAAGAACACCAGUGGCGAAGGCGGCUUACUGGUCCGGUUCUGACGCUGAGGCGCGAAAGCGUGGGGAGCAAACAGGAUUAGAUACCCUGGUAGUCCACGCCGUAAACGAUGGAUGCUAGCCGUUGGCCAGCUUGCUGGUCAGUGGCGCAGCUAACGCUUUAAGCAUCCCGCCUGGGGAGUACGGUCGCAAGAUUA